UGAAACUGAGAAUAGACAAAGGAUAAGAAAUUAUGUGAAAUUGCCAAUACUUGAAAUUAUAAAGACCUACACAAAAAGAUAACUUAAUUGGUUCACCAUAGAGUGUGUGUGUGUGUGUGUGUGUGUGUGUGUGGUGUGUUCAC
RNAcentral lists this small RNA (143 nucleotides) under Marmota monax (woodchuck). Lineage: Eukaryota; Metazoa; Chordata; Mammalia; Rodentia; Sciuridae. The record is from RNAcentral.